RNAcentral lists this ribosomal RNA (783 nucleotides) under uncultured bacterium. RNAcentral's name for it is "bacterial SSU rRNA". It matches the Rfam family "Bacterial small subunit ribosomal RNA", at positions 8 to 788 of the family's 1533-position model. The record is from RNAcentral.
AGAGUUUGAUCCUGGCUCAGGAUGAACGCUGGCGGCGUGCCUAACACAUGCAAGUCGAGCGAGAAGUUUGAAAAAUGAGUUUUCGAACAAGUGAUUCAAACGGAAAGCGGCGGACGGGUGAGUAACGCGUAGGCAACCUGCCCCGUGCAGAGGGACAGCCUCGGGAAACCGGGAUUAAGACCUCAUGAUAUCGGGUUAUCACAUGGUAAUCCGGUCAAAGAUUUAUCGGCAUGGGAUGGGCCUGCGUCUGAUUAGCUGGUUGGUGGGGUAACGGCCUACCAAGGCGACGAUCAGUAGCAGAACUGAGAGGUUCAUCUGCCACAUUGGAACUGAGACACGGUCCAAACUCCUACGGGAGGCAGCAGUGAGGAAUAUUGCACAAUGGGCGAAAGCCUGAUGCGGCAACGCCGCGUGAGCGAAGAAGGCCUUUGGGUCGUAAAGCUCUGUCCUUGGGGAAGAAACAAAUGACGGUACCCUUGGAGGAAGCCCCGGCUAACUACGUGCCAGCAGCCGCGGUAAUACGUAGGGGGCGGGCGUUAUCCGGAAUUAUUGGGCGUAAAGAGUGCGUAGGUGGUCUUGUAAGCGUGGGGUGAAAGGCAGUGGCUUAACCAUUGUUAGCCUUGCGAACUGUGAGACUUGAGUGCAGGAGAGGAAAGCGGAAUUCCUAGUGUAGCGGUGAAAUGCGUAGAUAUUAGGAGGAACACCAGUGGCGAAGGCGGCUUUCUGGACUGUAACUGACACUGAGGCACGAAAGCGUGGGGAGCAAACAGGAUUAGAUACCCU